Molecule: ribosomal RNA, 272 nt
Filed under: uncultured bacterium
Lineage: Bacteria
Description: partial 16S ribosomal RNA
Rfam family: Bacterial small subunit ribosomal RNA
Source: RNAcentral
CCGGACCUACGGGAGGCAGCAGUAGGGAAUCUUCCACAAUGGACGAAAGUCUGAUGGAGCAACGCCGCGUGAGUGAAGAAGGGUUUCGGCUCGUAAAGCUCUGUUGGUAGUGAAGAAAGAUAGAGGUAGUAACUGGCCUUUAUUUGACGGUAAUUACUUAGAAAGUCACGGCUAACUACGUGCCAGCAGCCGCGGUAAUACGUAGGUGGCAAGCGUUGUCCGGAUUUAUUGGGCGUAAAGCGAGUGCAGGCGGCUUAAUAAGUCUGAUGUGU